UACGUAGGGCGCGAGCGUUGUCCGGAAUUAUUGGGCGUAAAGAGCUCGUAGGCGGCUUGUCACGUCGGGUGUGAAAGUCCGGGGCUUAACUCCGGUUCUGCAUUCGAUACGGGCUAGCUAGAGUGUGGUAGGGGAGAUCGGAAUUCCUGGUGUAGCGGUGAAAUGCGCAGAUAUCAGGAGGAACACCGGUGGCGAAGGCGGAUCUCUGGGCCGUUACUGACGCUGAGGAGCGAAAGCGUGGGGAGCGAACAGG
This 253-nucleotide ribosomal RNA is filed under the name uncultured bacterium. RNAcentral's name for it is "partial 16S ribosomal RNA". It matches the Rfam family "Bacterial small subunit ribosomal RNA", at positions 524 to 776 of the family's 1533-position model. The record is from RNAcentral.